UACAGAGGGGGCAAGCGUUGUUCGGAAUUACUGGGCGUAAAGGGCGCGUAGGCGGCCUUCUAAGUCAGACGUGAAAUCCCUCGGCUCAACCGGGGAACUGCGUCUGAGACUGGAAGGCUUGAAUCCGGGAGAGGGAUGUGGAAUUCCAGGUGUAGCGGUGAAAUGCGUAGAUAUCAGGAAGAACACCAAUGGCGAAAGCAGCUUUCUGGGACGGUACUGACGCUGAGGCGCGAAAGCUAGGGGAGCGAACGGG
This 253-nucleotide ribosomal RNA is filed under the name uncultured bacterium. RNAcentral's name for it is "partial 16S ribosomal RNA". It matches the Rfam family "Bacterial small subunit ribosomal RNA", at positions 524 to 776 of the family's 1533-position model. The record is from RNAcentral.